GACAGAGGGUGCUAGCGUUGUUCGGAAUUACUGGGCGUAAAGGGCGCGUAGGCGGCUCGUUUAGUCGGGUGUGAAAUCCCGGGGCUCAACCCCGGAACUGCAUUCGAUACUGGCGGGCUAGAGACCGGAAGAGGUGGGUGGAAUACCCAGUGUAGAGGUGAAAUUCGUAGAUAUUGGGUGGAACACCAGUGGCGAAGGCGGCUCACUGGUCCGGUACUGACGCUGAGGUGCGAAAGCGUGGGGAGCAAACAGG
This 253-nucleotide ribosomal RNA is filed under the name uncultured bacterium. Its description in RNAcentral is "partial 16S ribosomal RNA". It matches the Rfam family "Bacterial small subunit ribosomal RNA", at positions 524 to 776 of the family's 1533-position model. The record is from RNAcentral.